GAAUUUGUGCUUGACUCGUUGAUUACUAAAUGAAGCAAUGGCUUGAGAAUAAGUAUUGUCUCUUCACUAUAGAAAAUAAGAAAUUCUUCAUUCUCUUUCGCAUUACAUUGAUAGUUUGUUUUCUCUUUUUGUAUUGUUAGUUGAAAAUAAAUUAUGCUUUCACGGAAAAAGAAGUUGUAAUAUGGGGUCAUAUUUUUAUCGGAG
RNAcentral lists this long non-coding RNA (204 nucleotides) under Nicotiana benthamiana. RNAcentral describes it as "long non-coding RNA (NBEN_LNC006966)". Lineage: Eukaryota; Viridiplantae; Streptophyta; Magnoliopsida; Solanales; Solanaceae. The record is from RNAcentral.